UACGUAGGGUGCGAGCGUUAAUCGGAAUUACUGGGCGUAAAGCGUGCGUAGGCGGUUCGUUAUGUCUGCUGUGAAAUCCCCGGGCUCAACCUGGGAAUGGCAGUGGAAACUGGCGGGCUUGAGUGUGGCAGAGGGGGGUGGAAUUCCGCGUGUAGCAGUGAAAUGCGUAGAGAUGCGGAGCAACACCGAUGGCGAAGGCAGCCCCCUGGGCUAACACUGACGCUGAGGCACGAAAGCGUGGGGAGCAAACAGG
This 253-nucleotide ribosomal RNA is filed under the name uncultured bacterium. RNAcentral's name for it is "partial 16S ribosomal RNA". It matches the Rfam family "Bacterial small subunit ribosomal RNA", at positions 524 to 776 of the family's 1533-position model. The record is from RNAcentral.